RNAcentral lists this ribosomal RNA (496 nucleotides) under Diaporthe sp. Phl028. Its description in RNAcentral is "eukaryotic LSU rRNA". The stretch from base 178 to 331 matches the Rfam family "5.8S ribosomal RNA". The record is from RNAcentral. Lineage: Eukaryota; Fungi; Ascomycota; Sordariomycetes; Diaporthales; Diaporthaceae.
CUGGAACGCGCCCCAGGCGCACCCAGAAACCCUUUGUGAACUUAUACCUUACUGUUGCCUCGGCGCUAGCUGGUCCUCCGGGGCCCCUCACCCUCGGGUGUUGAGACAGCCCGCCGGCGGCCAACCUAACUCUUGUUUUUACACUGAAACUCUGAGAAUAAAACAUAAAUGAAUCAAAACUUUCAACAACGGAUCUCUUGGUUCUGGCAUCGAUGAAGAACGCAGCGAAAUGCGAUAAGUAAUGUGAAUUGCAGAAUUCAGUGAAUCAUCGAAUCUUUGAACGCACAUUGCGCCCUCUGGUAUUCCGGAGGGCAUGCCUGUUCGAGCGUCAUUUCAACCCUCAAGCCUGGCUUGGUGAUGGGGCACUGCUUCUUACCCGAGAAGCAGGCCCUGAAAUUCAGUGGCGAGCUCGCCAGGACCCCGAGCGCAGUAGUUAAACCCUCGCUCUGGAAGGCCCUGGCGGUGCCCUGCCGUUAAACCCCCAACUUCUGAAAAU